Molecule: long non-coding RNA, 5370 nt
Organism: Triticum aestivum (bread wheat)
Lineage: Eukaryota; Viridiplantae; Streptophyta; Magnoliopsida; Poales; Poaceae
Exons: 8
Source: RefSeq, a predicted model, not a curated record
CGCAGGUGCGAAAGGAUUUUGGCCAAUCCUCUCCUCGCGCGCGGCGUGCUUCCAAUGGGUCGUCGAACCCUAGACCCCUUUCCCCAAUCCCACGACCGCCUCCAUCCUCUCGUGCUCCACCCCGAGCGUGCCCGGGCUCCGCCUCCUCCUCCACCAUCCCUUCUCUUCUCAAUCUUCCUCCUGUCGCAGCCGCCUCCUGUUCUCCCUCUCUUCCUCCUCCUCGCCCCAGGCGACCCCUCUCGCGCUGCUCAUCUCCACCUCAUAUGUGGCAUCUUCACUGCCGCCAUAGAUCGAGGAGGACGGCGUGAUGACGACCAUGAUGCAUCGGACAUCCCGAUCGAUGACACCAUGGAAGCCAUGAGAGCUGGCCGAGGAAAAGGGGGCAGGGCCAUAGGCCAUGAAGGGCACGGCGGCUGUGGGCGGAAGCAGCAUGGGUUGAAGGAGCAGCGGAUGUGGGCGGGGUCGGAGGUUGGGGGAGACUCGUCGGCUGGGCGACAGCGAGUGCCGGUGAGUGCUAGCAUGUGUCUCCAGAAGCGUCCUCUCCUACAAGGCAGGCAAGGCUGACGUCGUCGCCCUCGCAAGUCCUCCUCCCAUCCCUUUUGCUCCCCCUCCCCUGCCUCCUCACCUUGCCUUUGAGUCGGACGCAAUGUUCUACGAUCUAUUGCAUCUCCGUUCUCGUUAAGGAGAGGGGAGGCGGCCAAUGACAGGGAGAAGGAUCAGGCCGUCGAGGAGUGCAAGCAGAAGAAUAAAUAGCACGGAGAACAUAUAAGUGCUCUAUGUGUGUCUAAGGGCUCCAAGAGAUGCAGUCAUAGACAGUGACUGGUCCCUGAAGUUUGGGACGUUAAGGAUAAAAGCAAGCAGUUUUCAGAAACUUUUAGUUGUGGCUCAUGGGUUGCAGCAACUGGGAAACCAUUGACAAAUGUGGUCUCAGUUGGAGUUGGUGGUAGCUUCCUUGGACCUCUGUUUGUGCAUGCAGCUCUCCAGAUUGACCAGAAAGCAGAAGAGUCCGCCAAAGGCUGGCAACUGAGAUUGUAAGCGUGUACUUAGGGUAUGUUUUUGUAUUUCUUUCGCUGACACCUGUUACAUGUUCUUCUCGCACUUCCUAUGGAUGAUCAAAAAUAUUAAAUGUGAGUAAGUAGAGGCUUCCUUUUUGUCUUUCUGCACCAUUCAUGCAACCCUAACCAGGAAUUAUUUCAUUAUUGGAGUCUUUCAUUGUAUAUAUAACUAUAUAUUGAUGCAAGGUGGGAGAAGAAGGAGGUGGCUGGCCUUUAUUGUGUUUUGGUGUGGUGCUCUCCUAUUUAAUGGUAGAUAUGAUGUAUAGGUUCAAGCAUGUGAUUUUUCUUUCAGUGCAUAUUUGUGCUUUACGAUGUUUGAUGCAUACAUAGUUGAACCUCUUACUCCAUGUAAUACUUUGCCAAAGAAGAAUUUAUUAAUGUUGGUGUUUUUUCUCUUUUCAGAUUUUAGCCUGGGUGCAUAAACAUACAUGCCGCACAUUAUAUUCAAAUUUCAGUGCAAGAUUAAACUAGGGAUAAAUCAUUAUGGAAGGGAAAUGAAUGAAUAACAAACUGUAUAGAUUUAUUAUCAUAUCAUUUAUUUUUGAUUGCAUGAUCUUAAUUGCUCAUCUCUGAAAAUAUUUUAGGCUCUUGCUCUUGGAAUAUUAGACUGACGUGGUGUUGCUUUAUGAAUAAAUGGCGUGCUAACUUACUGGUUUGAUUUAGGUGUGUAGGCAGAGGAAACAAAAGAAUGAUACUCCCAGGUUUAGGCAUGCACAUGGUCACUGAUCACAAAGUAGGUAGGAACAUGUGCAGUAUUGUGAUUUUCAGCAAGAGGAAGAGAAACAUAGUUAAUUGUACGGAUUUUAAGCUACACUAUGUGAUGUUGCUCUAUUAUAAAGGCCUUGCUUAACUGCUUGGUUUGCAACAUGUAUUGCAUUUCCAGGGAUUAUCCUUUUGCUUAUUUAGUAUUUCCUAUGUUCUGUGAAGAUUAAUUUUGGCCCAUACAGUUUCCGGUGACUAGAAGUCUGAAACUGAAGACAGGGCAUAUUGUUUUGGUUAUGAGUGGUUGGAGAUAUUGUGGCUUGAUGUCCCUAGAGUUGUCAGACGCUUCCAAGAUCGGUGAGCCUGAUUUCUUCUGCAAUUCUUCCACCACAGUACAUGAAAAGGAAUAUGUUCUACCUAUUGGCACCAUUUCUUGUGGAGGAUUGGUGCUUCCCCUUUAUUUUUUCACACUUUGGUGUCCUUGAGUUCAGAAUAGAUUCACCUUUGUUCUGAUUCUGCGCACACGUCGAGCGACGGUGAGCACAUUGGACGGCAACACACCCAGGUGAUGUGAAGGCUAGCUACUAUGAUCAAGGAAAUAACAUGUAUCUGUGUGGUUUGUUCCUACCGUUGAUCGGCCAUUGCUGCGUUUAAGGUAUGUUGUGCCCGAUGCUACUUAAUGCUAUAUAAAACCUAUAGUUGUACAUAAAACGCCUUGAUAUGCAAAUAACCUAGUUAAAAUAAAUGGUUGCGCCAUCUAGGAUAGUCUAUAUUUGUAUUUCAUUCAGUUAUCUCAUAUUUCCAGUAAAAAAACUCUUCGCUUUGGGGUUUUGGAAUAAUCUUCAGGAAGUUGGGGACGAGUUAGUAGAACUUAUGGAAAUGUCGAUACUGUAGCUCAAAGUGUAAGUUUUUAUGUCCUUCUAUGCAUUUAUCGAUACUCUAGCCUGUUGGCUGACUGUCCCUUACUUAUCCAAAAACACUGAGUUCUGCUACUUACCCAACCAGAUGUUAAAUAUUUCAAAAUGCGUCUUUAUAUUGUCAUUGUAUCGUAGUUGCUUCUCCUGAUGUGUUUUUGUUUUACACCAGCAUAUAUUUGGUCCAGAGAUAUUCAAUUGUUUGUCUGAUAAGAUAAUAUUUUACUUCUUUAUGGAGCACUCUUAUGGCAAGCACAUUUUUUUGAAUGAACUGCUGGUUGGUUUUUUUCUCCAUAAAUACGAUAAAUUAUCAUAUCAUAUGAAAUGUUAAGAUAUACUGAAAAUAUGCCUUGUAUGAUGGUGGUCUGGCAUUUUAGAAUUGUUUUGGGCAAUGCAUGUUUGUAUGCAUUUUUCUUUUGGCCCUUGAAGGCUUCCAUGGUACGCAUAACAUCUUUAAUAGUUUGCAAUUGCGAUAAAAAAUGAUGUGCUCGUAUCUUUAGUUUUUAUUACACGUGGAGAUAAUGCCACAACUCUUGCUGGAAUUAUACUGUCAACUUAUGCUAAAUUUUUUCUGUCACACGUGACAAUUGCUACAUCUAUUAUGUUCUGUCACCGUUUUUACCUUCGUCAAUCUCAUGCAAAAAAUGAUAGACGAGUAAGUGUUAGUCAAUGACUAACAAUAGUCCAAUUUUUAAAUAUUUGUUGAAGUGUAGCUUCUAACUUUAUAACAUGUGGAUACUUUAUUUGAGUUUAUAAUAUCCUGUUUUUUGCCUCAUAGUUUAGUUUGAAUAAAAACAACAAAUAGUUUCUAUCUCCAUGGUUUUCCAGUUUGGUGAUUGUUCUCUCCAUACAGAGGCAUUAAUAGCUAAUAAUACACUUUGUACUUCUCCGGUCCAAUAGAAGUUGGCGCUGAAGCUAGCAGCAGACUCUGUAGAUGUCAAAACAACUUGUACUUUUGUGAACUGCGGGGGGUGGUUAUAAACAGUAGUUAUUUUCUAUGAGGAUAAGAUGCACAGAUGUACAUCCUGUUGGUGUGAUGUGGGGAUUUUAGUUUAGAAGAGACUGAGACCUUGUUACUGAAUAGCAGUUCACAGGUGGGCACACCAUUCGAUCAAUUAUGCGGGGUUGAGGGUUUAUCAUGAAUAUUUUGGCUGGUACAGCUCUCAAACACACAGCAGAGUUGAUUUAGGCCCAGUUACUCUUAAAUUAUUGAACGUGAAAGCAUUUGAAAAUCACCCUAUCCAUGAAGUAGUACCAAGCGUGUUUACUAAAAUAGGAGUGCAUGUGAUUUCUUGUGUUCUUAUCUGCAGCAGAAGUGGUAAUAGGUGUGGUUUUCCUCUAUAUGUCUUGACAGAAUAUUAGUAUUCUAUACUAUUUGUUAUGCAGUUAUUCUUUUUUUUUCAUGGCGAAUGGGCAAAUGAAGUCUGAAUCUAACAUCUAUACAGACAAUCGCUACUGUUUGCAUGUUCUUAGCUGGAAAAGUCGAAGAAACACCUAGGCCUUUGAAGGAUGUCAUCCUGGUUUCUUACGAGCUUAUUCAUAAAAAGGAUCCUGCUGCUGGUCAGAAAAUCAAGCAGAGGGUAAUGUAAUGGAACCAAUUGGAUGCUUCUUUUUCUAUGGAUUGUUCUUUGGUGAACCUUUUUCCCUUUACAAAAGUUGUAGCAUGACCUAAUUUCACCCUAUUAAUCUUGUUAUUCUCAUACAAUAACAGAAAAUAACUUCAGAAAUAUAGCCAGUAGAAGGCUAGCUAUUUCUAUCAGAAUCCUAACCUUUUCUCAUCAAUAUAUCAUUUAUUUUGGAAUUGUUUUGAUUGCAUCAUCAUCUGCUGAAAAGCUUACGAGACUGAUAAUGAUAUAGAAUAAAACUAUAUUCUAACCUACGAGGAGGCUGGGCACGUCUUCUAACCCGCAGCAGACUGUAUAGGCAGCGGGAGCGCCGGUCCCGUUGCCGGUCCAGACCAUGGGCGCAGCUUGGUCGAGCUAUAACGAGUGCAUCUGAUUCCAACUCAUCAAGGUGAGCUCCCUCUUUUAUUCUUCUCAGGCAAUGAGGCGUCAUUGUAGGCCCAAUCUUUUUGUUUGUUGCAUUGAAAAGUGUUGUCAUGUUGUGGAAAGGCAACAUGUGCUUGAUAUGUGGAGUUGGUGUUGAGCCUGGCAGUAGUAGAGAGGGAAGGCACCCAUCUCACUUGAUCUUGAGAGUUGAUUCAUAUCUUUUUUUCUUGACCUGAUUGAGUUCCUGUAUAUGCAAGGAUAAAGAAUAAGGGGCAUUGUCGUGGUUGUUGCUGAAGGUGAUGGUCAGGAGCUGAUUGCCGGGACUGAUGACAAGAACGGAGAGCAGGAUGAGAAAAAGAUGCACGACCAGGUUUCUCAUCAUGAUAACCAUGUUUCUAAACUUGCUAAAAAAAUACAACCACGCCAACUGUACUCUCUCAUCAUAGUGGCCAUAUUUUCAAAUUGAACAUAUUCGUAUUAUGCAAAGUUUCCCUUUUCCCAGCCUAUUAUUUAACAAUGUAAUAAACAUGUUUAAAAAAUAGCAUGAUUUAGUUGAAGGUUCUUGCAGCAUGAAACUAUUUUCAUCAACAGCUUGUCUUCAGCAGGUCUCUGUGCCAUUUGACGCAACGGGUCAACUAGUAUAAAUAAUGUAAAACUAUAUAUACCUCGUAAGUUUCAGCGGAAACAAUCAAACGGGUGUGGAGUCCUGAU